RNAcentral lists this ribosomal RNA (305 nucleotides) under uncultured bacterium. RNAcentral describes it as "bacterial SSU rRNA". It matches the Rfam family "Bacterial small subunit ribosomal RNA", at positions 337 to 658 of the family's 1533-position model. The record is from RNAcentral.
ACCUACGGGGGGCAGCAGUGGGGAAUAUUGCGCAAUGGGGGCAACCCUGACGCAGCAACGCCGCGUGAUUGAAGAAGGCCUUCGGGUUGUAAAGAUCUUUAAUCGGGGACGAAUUUUGACGGUACCCGAAGAAUAAGCUCCGGCUAACUACGUGCCAGCAGCCGCGGUAAUACGUAGGGAGCAAGCGUUAUCCGGAUUUACUGGGUGUAAAGGGCGUGUAGGCGGGACGGCAAGUCAGAUGUGAAAACUGAGGGCUCAACCUUCAGACUGCAUUUGAAACUGCUGUUCUUGAGUGAAGUAGAGGU